RNAcentral lists this ribosomal RNA (258 nucleotides) under uncultured bacterium. RNAcentral describes it as "partial 16S ribosomal RNA". The record is from RNAcentral.
CUGCUGCCUUCCGUAGGAGUUUGGGCCGUGUCUCAGUCCCAAUGUGGCCGGUCACCCUCUCAGGCCGGCUACUGAUCGUCGCCUUGGUGGGCCUCUACCCCGCCAACUAGCUAAUCAGACGCGGGUCCAUCGUAUACCGUUUACGCUUUUCACACUGCCUCCAUGCGAAGCUGUGCGCUUAUGCGGUAUUAGCACCUAUUUCUAAGUGUUACUCCCCCUGUAUACGGCAGGUUACCCACGCGUUACUCCACCCGUCCG